Molecule: ribosomal RNA, 468 nt
Filed under: uncultured bacterium
Lineage: Bacteria
Description: partial 16S ribosomal RNA
Rfam family: Bacterial small subunit ribosomal RNA
Source: RNAcentral
GACGAACGCUGGCGGCGUGCUUAACACAUGCAAGUCGAACGGAAAGGCCCUGCUUUUGUGGGGUGCUCGAGUGGCGAACGGGUGAGUAACACGUGAGUAACCUGCCCUUGACUUUGGGAUAACUUCAGGAAACUGGGGCUAAUACCGGAUAGGAGCUCCUGCUGCAUGGUGGGGGUUGGAAAGUUUCGGCGGUUGGGGAUGGACUCGCGGCUUAUCAGCUUGUUGGGGGGGUAGUGGCUUACCAAGGCUUUGACGGGUAGCCGGCCGGAGGGGGGGACCGGCCACAUUGGGACUGAGAUACGGCCCAGACUCCUACGGGAGGCAGCAGUGGGGAAUAUUGCACAAUGGGCGGAAGCCUGAUGCAGCAACGCCGCGUGCGGGAUGACGGCCUUCGGGUUGUAAACCGCUUUCGCCUGUGACGAAGCGUGAGUGACGGUAAUGGGUAAAGAAGCACCGGCUAACUACGUG